Callithrix jacchus (white-tufted-ear marmoset) is the source of this 1682-nucleotide non-coding RNA. Lineage: Eukaryota; Metazoa; Chordata; Mammalia; Primates; Cebidae. The record is from RefSeq and is a predicted model, not a curated record.
CCUUUUUCCUGGAUGUCUCUCUGCCUCCCAUAGUCCUGCUUCCAUGUAGUUGUGACUCUUCCUAAUACAAAUCUAUGGGAUACAUUCCUGACUCUACUGAGAUAAGUGGGUGCUGAGUAGAUAAUUACAUUCUUUGGUAUAAAAUAUCUAAAAGACAAACACACUCUCAUUUGCUAAGGGAUAAAAUCAAUAGAUCUCUAUUUACCAGGAACCGUGCUAAUCACUUUGCACUUUGCAUAUAUUAUCUCAUUUAAAGUUCAUGAGACCUAUGAGUUGUGUUAUCAUUUGCCUGAUGAUUUCACAGAGUAGGAAGGUAAGACACAUCGAGUCACACAGGAAGUUGCACAACUGAGUAGUAGAGAAUUCAGAAUCUCAACCCGAGCUGCCAAAUUCUUGAGCUGACAUACAGUAAGGUGUAGAGUACUGUCAAGAGGCUUGAGGGAGCUAAGGCCGGCAAAGCACUAAAAACACCACCUGGCACAUGCGGAGGCCCAACGCAAAGGGGAACAGAACCAACUGUGAGGAAGGAGAGAAGAGGUGGGCCUUGCCAUCUGCUCAUUAUUCAGAGAGUGUGUACAUAGAUGGAAGUUGAGGCUGCCCCAUCCCUGUUCACUUGCUGAGCUCCAAUUUACAUUGUUGUGAAGUACCGCAGUGCCCUCAGGACCAAGCAGAAUGAACCACUCCUUGCCUGUGCACUCCACAGAACAUUUACUUGAUUGCCUUGCCAACGCCUUGUUGCUGUAAUGGGAUCUUUGGCUUGUCUGCUCCAAGAGCAAGAAUCCUGAUAGAAAGGGAAUCAGGCAGAGAGAGAAAGAGUGAGAGAGUGUCACACCUGGCUCUGCCGCUUCUCCAGGGCUGAAGGGGAAAUAAGUCCUGAUUGCCAGCGGCUGGAUGUUCUCCUCCCAGAAAGAAUCUUACUCUGAUGCCCAGGCUGGAGUGUAGUGGCGUGAUCUCGGCUCACCGCAACCUCUGCCUCCCGGUUCAAGCAAUUCUCGUGCAUCAGCCUCCUGAGUAACUGUGAUUACAGGUGUGCGACACCACGCCUGGCUAAUUUUUGUAUAUUUUGUAGAGACUGGGUUCCAUCAUGUGGUCUGCUGGUCUCAAACUUCUGAGCUCAAGCUAUCCUCCUGCCUCAGCCUCCCAAAGCGCUGGGAUUACAGGGACGAGCCACCGCACACAGCUAAAUUCUUUACUACUCUUCUCUCAGGAGGUGGAAUUUAAAUUCCCUCCCCUUGAAUGUGGGCUGGACUUACUGCCCCUCUUUUAAGGGGUAGGGUGUGGAAAGGGAAGCACAGUGAGUUUAUAGUGGAGAAACCUGGAUGAUAACACCAUUUCUGAGUCAAGGUUGAUAUCAUCAGUAAGAAGUCAUGUUGCUCUCACAUACACUCUGAUAUAAUGUGAUGAGAAGGGCACAACCUCUCAGUAAAAUUCUUCCCUAAAAUCCAUAACCUAGGAUUUAUCAUGAGAAAACAUCAGGCAAACACAAAUUGAGGAAUAUUCCACAAAAUACCUGACCAAUACUCUUCAAAAGUAUCAGGGUGCAGAAAAACAAGAAAAGGCUGAGAAACUAAGCACAGGUUUUAAUGGACUAAGGAGAUGAGACACCUGACCACAAUGUGGGAUUCUGAACUGGAUGCUGGAAUAGAAAAAGGACACUAGUGGAAAUGGUGAAAUCUGAAUAA